This 465-nucleotide ribosomal RNA is filed under the name Vreelandella stevensii. Its description in RNAcentral is "partial 16S ribosomal RNA". It matches the Rfam family "Bacterial small subunit ribosomal RNA", at positions 338 to 795 of the family's 1533-position model. Lineage: Bacteria; Pseudomonadati; Pseudomonadota; Gammaproteobacteria; Oceanospirillales; Halomonadaceae. The record is from RNAcentral.
CCUACGGGGGGCAGCAGUGGGGAAUAUUGGACAAUGGGGGGAACCCUGAUCCAGCCAUGCCGCGUGUGUGAAGAAGGCCCUCGGGUUGUAAAGCACUUUCAGUGAGGAAGAACGCCUGGUGGUUAAUACCCAUCAGGAAAGACAUCACUCACAGAAGAAGCACCGGCUAACUCCGUGCCAGCAGCCGCGGUAAUACGGAGGGUGCGAGCGUUAAUCGGAAUUACUGGGCGUAAAGCGCGCGUAGGUGGCUUGAUAAGCCGGUUGUGAAAGCCCCGGGCUCAACCUGGGAACGGCAUCCGGAACUGUCAAGCUAGAGUGCAGGAGAGGAAGGUAGAAUUCCCGGUGUAUCGGUGAAAUGCGUAGAGAUCGGGAGGAAUACCAGUGGCGAAGGCGGCCUUCUGGACUGACACUGACACUGAGGUGCGAAAGCGUGGGUAGCAAACAGGAUUAGAUACCCGUGUAGUC